ACAGUUGUCUCACUUUCUCACUCAUAUUCACCAUUGACUUCAUCGAACUCAGAACCUCACCCUACCAAUUUCCUUCUUUUCUCCAAAUUUAGGGUUAAGAUUUCUAAUGCAUCAUCACUUGUCUCAACCUUCUCUACAAAACCCUUGACCUUCUUAGUGAGGGAACCAAGAGACCACUACGUCUCGACAAGUCUACCACUGUGAGAUCUGGUACACACAAUCUCGAUUGCUUCCACAUCAAAGCUAUGGGUUUCAUUUUUCUUGAUACUUUAUUGGACUGGUAAGUAUUUCUACUAUAUCUAAUCUCAAUUGAAAUUAGUUUUUUAAAUUCACAAGUUUUCUCAAAUUAGCGUUUUUGAAUAAAUAGAAAUUAAGAGUGAGUUAGUGUUUCAGUGGUGUUUUGGUGGUGUUCAUGGUUGGCAGUUAUGAUGGUUGAUAAAAUGUGUCCUUUGAUUAUGUAUUGACAAUGAUUAGUAAGGAUGAUAAUACUUUUUACUUGGUUGAAGUUGGACAAAACCUAGAAGCAACUUCAUGUUCAUAUUCUUACUAUGGGUUUUCUUCUACUUCUACUCUAGUUUUGUUUAUGAAAAAUCAGCAUUUGUGAUAUGUUCCCUGCAAAAUAUUUUGGUUGGAGAGUGUAAUUUAUUUGGCAAGGUAGAGUGUGUGUAAACCCAUUUUCUUUACCCACAAUUAUAGUAUCUCAACCUGCUAUGAUAUACUUAACGAUACUAUUUAUUAUAUUAUCUGCAACAUCUCCAUGGUGGAUGUGUUGCUUUAAGGUCUCGGUUUGAAAUACUUUAUACUAGUGGUGUAAAUUGUAUAACAUGUGAAAGUAAUUUAGGAUUUCAACUUGUGGCCAUGUUCCAUAUAUAACUAACCAUUGUGUUUACCGAACAUAUUAGAAUUUAUGAUUUUUAUUUAACAAUAAAUUAAAAUGAUAAAUAGAAGCUCUUAAACUUAGUAAUUUUUAAAAAAUCUUGUUUCGUCGUGUAAUUGGUAAGUUAAUUAUUUAUUAGCAUUUAGAGAGUAAACUGAAUGGUCUAUGAUCUAGAAAAAAAUUGUGGUGAUCAAAUAUUUGCACUUCAAAUAUGUUCUUCAGUAUAUAGGUUGUUACUUCUUGGCUAUAUUGUUAUUUUGUAUUGAAGCUUCAGUUUUCAAGUCUAACUGUAUGUUUUCAAAAUUGGCAAUGAUACCUUACCUGAAAUAUUUCUAGUAAUGAAAAGACUAAAGAAUCUGGAAUAGCAAAGGAAAAACAUGUCAGUGCACAAUAAUGCAUAUCUUUACCUGACCAACUAAAUGUGAAGGAUAUGUAAGUUGUGAAAUUUGUAGAAAAUGUUGAUAUAGAUGGACCUUCUACUCUGUGCUUCGAUCUAUUAAUUAAGCAUUUAGAUUGUUUCGGAUUUGGCUAAAUUGUUUGUGUGUAUGUCAGUUAUGUUGACUCUUGUAUUAGGUGUGUGCAGAGCAUAGUGCACGAACACAUUGGUGCCAUAUGAUUCUUCCGGUUAAGGAUCUUGUCAGCAGGUGCAUUAUUGUGCUUUUUUUAUUUUAUUUUCUAGUAGCAUGUGAUAAAUAAGUUUUGUUUUUUUUAAUGAUAUGAUUCAAAUUCUUGUAAGUAAUUAAAAAAUUGUAAUUAAAUUUUUUAUUGAGACUAAUUGAUUGAACAAGCAUUUUCUUGUUAUACUAUGUUAAUAUUUGUAUUCUGAGAAGAAUUGAUGUUAUUUUUGCAGAAAUGUUAAGUUACAAAAUCAUUACCUUUUUGUUAUUAGUACAAAAAUAAGAACAGUGGCAUUUAAUAGCACUUUUUUAAAAGUGUUAUUAAAGAUUGGGUCUAUAAUAGCACUUUUCAUAAAAGC
This 1853-nucleotide long non-coding RNA is filed under the name Lathyrus oleraceus (garden pea). RNAcentral describes it as "Pisum sativum (pea) long non-coding RNA (PSAT_LNC003881)". Lineage: Eukaryota; Viridiplantae; Streptophyta; Magnoliopsida; Fabales; Fabaceae. The record is from RNAcentral.